RNAcentral lists this long non-coding RNA (10151 nucleotides) under Homo sapiens (human). RNAcentral's name for it is "HSALNT0339230". The record is from RNAcentral. Lineage: Eukaryota; Metazoa; Chordata; Mammalia; Primates; Hominidae.
UUUCACUGUGUUGUCCAGGCUGGUCUUGAACUCCUGACCUCAAGUGAUCCACUCACCUUGGCCUCCCAAAGCCCUGUGAUUACAGUCGUGAGCUAUGGCGCCUGGCUCGCUUUUCAGUAUGUAACACUUCUGUCCUUUAAUUGUCACAACAAUAGCUUAUGGUGAUCAUUGUAUGUGGUACAGUUGUCCCCCCUUAUCCACAGGGGAUGUAUUCUGAAUCUCCCAGUGGAGUGGAUACCUGAAACUGCCGAUAAUGCCAAACCCUUUUGUCUUCACAAUUUCACAGAUAGAAGGCUGGUUCUUACCAUAAAUCUUAGCCACCUCAGCAUGCGAUUUUUGUCUUUCCUUAUUAAGUCGAGAACUUUCACCUUUUACCUUAAAGGAAACACUUUAUGGCUUCUCUUUGAAAGAUCUAAGUAGCCAGCAUCACUACUCCUGUGCUUUGGGACCAUUAUGAAGUAAAGCACUGCAAUACUGAGACAGUCGAUCUGAUCAUCAAUAGGGCUACUAAGUAACUCACAGCUGGGUAGCAUACACAGUGAGGAGACGCUGCACACAGCAAUGAUUCCCAUCCCCAGUGGGAUGGGGUGGGAUCCAGCAUGCUACUCAGAAUGGCAGGCAAAGUACAACUUAGACAUUACCUCUGAAAUUUUCCAUUUAGUAUUUUCGGGCCAGGAAUAUUGUCCACAAAAGUUAACCAUAAGUAACUGAAACCGCAAAAAGGGAAACCAUAGUUAAGGAGAGCCCACUGUAUUAUUGCCAUUUUUCAGAGGUUUAGGAACUGUUAAGAUUUGAAGCCUAGAAUGUCCAACACUAGAGUGCCCUAAAAUCUGUAAGCUCUUUUUGCUGUUGUUAAUAUUGCAUGGCUCUCUGUGCCAGCCAGAUUGAAUGACCUCCAGAAAUUAAGUGAGCCAGUGCCCAAGAUGCCAGACCAAUUGGCUUGGUUUCCAGACUUGGUUGAGCCCAGCUGCUCACCCUCUACCCUGGGGGUGGCGGACAAUAACUAAAAGAGAAACAUCUGAUUCCUGUCUGGAGCUCUCUCCCUCUUUCCUAUAGCACUGGCUGUUUAGGAAUAGGGAUUCUAUCUUCUGGUGUAGUUUUAUGUCUGGCACAGUGUUCUGGUAACUAUGGAAUGCAAUAUUUGUAGAAAAAGAGGAAGAACAAUUUACCUAUCUGUAGUGCUCAGAUCAUUCAUCCAAGAGUAAGUAAUGCCUAAUUGCAUGAAGACUGCCACAAGGAAGAACUAAAUCACAUACACACAUGAUGCCAAAGAGUAAAGAUAGUAGCAAUACAUAAUAUUUAAUUAAAUGCACCAUUCAGUGUUUUUGCCCUGCCCUAAAGUUUAUGUGUUGAUAAAAAUGACUUUCUGAUAUUGGGAGUUCAUUUCAGAAAAUACUCUUAUAUUUUGAGAAUAUUUUCCAUUUGGUUAAUGAGGUGGUAAUACAUGUAAAAGAAAUUAAGAAAACCUCAUUAAGGGAUCCAAAAGAGUAAUAUUUUACAAAGAGUAAUACCAUCAAAUAGUAUCAUCUCAGCGUUGAACAUCUCAGAUGUUUCAGUGUCCUCUCCUAUGUGUGAAUUCCCUCUACAACAUCCUGAAUGCACUAUCUCCAGCCUCUACCCUGAUCCAAACAUGGACAAAAACAAUUUUUUUUACAACCACAAAUUAAAGUCUUGGACAGCUGUAAUUCUUACACCCUUUCCUAAUACUGAAUUGAAAUAUGCUUUCUCUAGUUUUCACCAUGCUGGUAGUCCUCUUUUUUCUUUUCUCUACUUUUUUCGCUCUCGCUCUCUCUCUGUCUCUCUCUCUCUUGUAAAACUGCUCUAAAUUUGCUGGGUUGGAAUCUAAAGUUGAAUUGAAAAAUUGAUAUGUAGUGUAAGACAUAGCAUUUAAACAUACUCUAUGAGUGGUCGUUUAAAUUGGACCUUUAAAAAAAUGCGAAAGGGGUAAAGAAUAAAAACACUUAAUUUUCUCUCAUUUGUUUUAUUUUUAAGCAUCUCCAUUGCACUAUUUCACUCAUCUAAGUGAAAUCAAGAUCUUGGUUUUGGACUAAACUGGAAUUCAAAUGUGUAUGAGCAUCUUUGUUAUUUAGUUGCGUGGGUUCAUGAGGAGUUUAUUUUGAUUUUUUAAAAAUUGAGGGGCUCUGGAUUUUUUCUGUGCACCUGAAACAAGAGUUGAGAUGAAGAGGGCAGCGUGUGUCUGCCCACCACACUGUCUCUGCUUGAGGCUAUAGACUUGCAGCCAGAAAGCAGAGGAACACUUCACAAAGAACUCCGUGAGAUAUGAGAAAAGUGAGUCCUCUGGCUUUACUGCAGGUUAUAAGCUGUAACCUGAGUCAGGGAGAGAGACAUUCUCCCAGGAGUCUCUGUGAGUCUCUGAGGGUUUGUUGUCCUGGGAAGAUUUUGGCAGUGACGCUUUUGAUGUGAAAAAUUUGCACUGAAGGGAGGGAAACAGGCAAAGAAGACUUCAUUUAAGACUCUUGCAAUAGGGAAGAUAAAUAGAAUACAAUUCUGCUGAAACAAGAGGUGGGAAGACUUUUAAAUGCCAGGCUGGGCUAGUAGAAAAGUUCUUAAAAAGUUAUUAGGGGAGAGGCUGGUCAUGUGAUUAGGCCAUCUGUUUUGGCUAAUUGCCACUUAUGGAAGUUAGGUUUCUACCCUCCCACAGAGACUGGGAGAAAAGAGUGCUAUCUUUCUUGAUGAUUGCAUUUCAAAGAGAUGGCUCUCAGGUCCUUGAGACAGACAUCACUGGACUGUGAAGCAAGAGACUAGAAGAUUGACAUCUCAAAGUGAAAGAGUAAAAAUUUGCAUCUGUAAGCUUUGUAAAGUAAAUGUUCUAAAAAAGGGGAGGUCAGGGGCUUAUACAUUCAGGAAGAAGCCUGUCAAAAGUUUAGUCAAGCUGAAGGGAACCUUAAGAAGGUCUUGAUCAAACAAGGGUAUUCUCCUGUGGCUGUAGCAGUGGCACUGAGAGGCACAGUCUUCGAGUGUUUUGGAAGCAGUGGGUGUCACUGAAAAGCUAAGACACUGUGAGAAAAUAACUCACGAGAUACUUCCGGAUCUCCUGGAAGCUCUUGGAGAGGUUUGCAAAAGUCUGAAAGUGUGUGCAAUAUAGGUAGGGGCAAGACCAGUGAAAUUUGGGUCAUCACCACUAAUGUGAUCCCAUAGCCAGCCAGUGACUGGCAAGACCGAAGAAAUACAGAGUAUGGAGGUGAAAUAUUUCAACCUGACUUGGAACAUGUUAUACCCUUCAGUCCACGGGUGCACGUACUGUGACAUUUUGCUGCUUUGUCCUUCAUAAAAACAAGUGCUGUGGUAGCAUGAAAAUAACACUAGACAGACAGCUAAAAGACCUGAGUUUGUUUUUCUUUCUACCGGUUACUAGCUAAACUGACUUGGAUGAGGCACCAUCCCUCCUGGACUUCCUUAUGGGGAAUUGGGAUAAUACAUCUACUUCACAGGGUUGUUAUCAGGAUUAAAUCAAUAUACAUGCCAUCCUUUGCAAAGCACUAUGAAUGACAGAUUAGAGGCUUUUCUUUUGAUUUUUACCCAUUACUUAACCAGUAGCCUUAAUGUGACCUCAAUUGUGUCUCUUUAGGACGGUGGUAACUUUUCAUAUUCAGAUUAUUCCUUCUGUGUACCUUUUGGGAAACUUUAUUCCAAUUCCCAUUCAUUUAAAUGGUAUAUAAUGUUUUAAAUUGAACUUUUAUCUCUAUUUCAUCUGUCUUUAUUUUUUUUUUGUCUUGGACUUGGACUUCCUUUCUACAACUCUAUCUCUUGGAGAACUUUUGUGAUAAAAUGGAGGUCAGUAGGAACCUUGACCCCACGCUUCUGUCUGAAUACACAUGUAACUGCUGCAUUUGCUCACCACCACCAAAAUGCUUCAGUGUUUGGUCAGUGGUUUUUAAGUUCGAAAUGUAUGCAUCUGUUCAAAUCUGUGUAAAUUGUACUCUCUAGCCGUAAGUUGCUUGAUAUCAGUAUCUAUCUAUAUAUAAUCAAACAAUUAUGUUUGUAGAAUAUCUAAAGAAGAUGCCAGAAAAAUUUUGUACCCUUUGAUAGAAAGUGUGGGUGUUGAUUAAAAAAAAAGAAGAAAUAAAUCCACAUUUAAUGGGAUAGUUAAACAUCUGUUUACCAGAAAAAAAUUAAUUUCCAACUAUAAAGGAAUUGCUUAUUUUUCCAUUAAAUCCUCAGAACAAACAAAUAACAAUUUUGAGAGGGCAAUCUAAAGAUGCAGUCGUGGUUACUUUGGUAUUUGACCCUUUUUCUGUAGUAAUUUAGUCUGAACAAGACCAAAGUGUGUGCUACUCUUUGGCUUUAUAGCCCUCUAACCAUAGGCGCUGAUGGCAUUCACGAUUAUGGAUUAAAUAGGGCCAACCCUUGUCAGUAAUUUGUUAAAAAAUUCCCACAGAGAUACCUAUGGUGCUGCUGAACAAUGAUGUUGGUAGUGUGCUAUUUUGCUUUAGGAAAAGCUACUGCAUUCCAACAUGGGGUUCAAUGGCUGGUCCUGGAAACCUCGUCUCUGUUUGAUAUAAGUUAAACCUUGAGUACACUCUGCCUGGUACUGAAAUUAACAUCUGGGUCCUGACCAAAUUCUAACUUGUGAAAUUGCAGAUUACUUUACGACUGGAUAAGAAAUGUACUCCAUCAUAUCUUAGCUUUGUUAUUUAAUUUUGCCUGGGGUUGUUAAAUCACUGUAGCAUUUUGCCACUGUGUGCAACCAGUGGGCUUUUAGAAAUUUUAGCAUGAAAGGCUCUCAAGAAAACAUGAAACUCUUUUAACAUAAGGUUAUCUCCAGGAGGCUACUUUUUGGUUUAGUUAUGUGAUUGUAUUUGAACAAAUAGAUUUUCUUUAGUUCUACUUAGUGUUCUUUUUUAAACUGAUGGACUUUCACAAUAGGUUUUCAGGUCUUGGCUUUUCAGUUUCAUUUUUGGGGGUGUGGAAGUUUCAGAGUGAGAUACAAACUGAUUUGUGAGAUGAAAAAUAUUAAAGAUAUGAUCAUUUGACAGUAAUUUGGUGAUCUGAUUUUUUUCUGGAAAUAACAAAGCUAAUAUUCUUAAGUGAGCGAAAAAAUUUUUGAGGACAGCUACUGGAUAGUUGAAUAUUUUAUCCAUUAAUGAAAUUGUUCACAUUUUGAAGAGAUUAUUAACUGUGGUGCAAUUGGAUUCUUUGUGAAGUGGCAGCAAAAGGCUUCUUGGUUUACACCAGGGUCAGCAAACUACACCUUGCAGGCCACAUCAGGUCUACCACUUGUUUUGUAAAUAAAGUUUUACCGGGGCAUAGUCAUGCCCAUUUGUUUAUGUGUUUUCUGUGUCUGCUUUUGUAAGAGACUAUAUGGACUUUAAAGCCUAAAAUAUUUAGUAUCUGUCCCUUUCUAGAACAAGUUUGCUUACCUCUGCUUUACAUCAUUAACUUGAUCCUGUGGAGUCAGAGCUGGCUGUGCACAUCCUCUAAACCAAGGGAGAAACAAAUUACAUAUUUGAGAAACAAUGCUAAGAUUUUCCCAUCCCUUGGACUCUGGCUAGACAUUUGUGGCAACCACAAGCUUCACUUUCUCUUUUCUCCCUUUCUCAAGGUGCUUUUAUCUGUGACUGCGGCACCAGCAGUUUGGGUUUGGUAGACUAUAAUAUUGGAUUGGUGGUGUGUAUUUUUACAUAAAGCCUUGGAGUUAUUUUAUUUUAUUUUUUUGCAGAGAUGGCUUCACAUUUUAGACUACAUGUUUAUAACUGCCCUUGUGCUAUAGUUGCUCUUAUGCUGUAAAGCAUGACAGCAUACUUUUAUCUUUUAACAUUGGCCAAAACUGGUCACACAACCAUUACUAAACCAUUACUGUAGAUUAAUAAGAAUCUGUAUCUAGAUUUAAAAAUUUACAUUUUUGAGAUGGGAUCUCUCUGUGUUCCCUGGGCUGGUGUUGAACUCCUGGGCUCCUGCAAUCCUCUUGCCUAAGCCUCCAAAGUAAUUGGGAUUACAGGUCUUCACCACCAUGCCUAGUUUACACCUGAAUUUUGGAAUGGAGUUAUUUACUCUUGCAUUGCUUGGGAGAAGGAUGGACACCUGGAUUGGUUACUUUCUUUUUACUACUCUAGAGCUACCCAUUCUCUGCCUAUUUUAUCAUGGGUCUCCCCAAAAAGAAGAGCCAGAGAAAAGGGAUGGAUGCAGAUAGAUAGCUUAUUUGAGGGAGUGAUCUCAGGGAACAGGAGUCAGAGGAUUCAACGGUGAUGUUGGUAGUGUGUUAUUUUGCUUCGGGCAAAGCUACGGCAUUCUGUCUUGGGGUUCAAUGGCCGGUAUUGGAAGCCUCUUCUCUAUUUGAUACAAAUUAAAACUUGAGUACUAGGACUAGUGAAAUGGAGAAAAUGUAAAGAUAAUCCAAGAGUCGAGUUAUUAAGACUGAAUGUUAGUUAUUACUAUGGGCAACUGGGGUUCAAUUUUGUUGAAAACCCUCUGAAGAAUGGUAUAGAUCCUUCCUCAGACUUGUUUACUCAAGACAUGGAAAAGGGUAUAUUUAUCUACUUGCUUCCAACUCCAGUUGGUCAAGUCUUGCCCUUGGGGCUGCUAACUUCCUUGGAUGUACAGUCAGAGUAUGAUGCAGAAUGAGUAAGCAGGCUAGUCUUGUGUAGGUAUCUCAUGCUGUGGAGACAAAGAAUUCCUGAAGCACAAGAAACAUUUGUGCAGCUAAGUUAAGGUUCUAUUGCUUCAGCUGGUUGCUAAAGCAAUAGUCAGAACAAAAUGCUGAGCAAAGAGGAUGUGAGACAGGGCAUUGAAAAUGUAUGUCUCCCUGUCCUUCUCAACCUGCUUCGUACCUCAGGGAGCUGACCUCUGUAGCAUAGAUCACCUGAACUCCCUUUCCAUCUGGCUUCUCAUUGAGUCUUGGUACCAGAAGAAAUGGUAGGAAAUCUGAAAGCAGGAGAAUAGAAUGGUUGAGAGUAUUUGUUUCCCCUAUCUUCUGUCCUUCCUGCAUUGCCACAGUUUGUUACUCUUGGCUGCCACUCCUAUUGGGUGAACCUGCUUCCAUGACUCCACCCCUCUUUGGGUUUGGUAAUAUCAUUCUCUCUCUACCAAAGGCCACAGCUCCUGCUAGGAGGCCUUUUCCUGUAGUUAUAACUCUGCCAUAGAUUGAAUAACUGCUUAUCUCUCUUUUCUUUCAGACCUGGAGUAGGUUUUAGUUUUCUGUUGUUGCUGAUCUUUGGACCCAGCUCAAAUCUUUUGCUGAGCUUUUACCUAUUAAAUCUUUUCAUUGUGGCUUAAUUUACUGCCCAAAUAAAAUUGGGGUUUUGUUAGCAGCGAAUAAGGGAGAACUUUUAUGGGCUGACAUAUAAAGGUGUCUGCUCUUCCUGUUAUGGGGCCAGGACCAAGUGAAAGUUUGCCACCAGUGGAAUGGCUUCAACACACUUAGAAAAAUGGCAUAGAGAUGAAGUUCCUCUUUUGAAUAACUUUCAACUUUAGUGGCCUACUACUCCCAUAUUUUGGCUUGUUAAACUGGUAAUGCUAUAUUUUAAAUUUCUAUUGCAUUUUUUUCUUAGACAUUAAAACCUUUUCAGUUACAGGAUUUAAGCAAUAUAAAAGGCAUCAGCAUAAAAGUGAAAAUCUCCCUUGAUUCAGUUACUCAUAGAUAAAUAUUGUUAACAUUUUGAAUUUCUUCAGACUUUAUCGGUUGUCUAUAAAGGCGAUCAGCAUCUCAGUUUUGUUUGGAAGGAAGACACCAACUGUAAAAAUGUGGAUGGGAUGAGAGGAAACAAGGAUAAUUAAGUCAUUCCAUUGUAAGGUCAGCACAACGUCUGGAUAUAUCUCCUGUUAUUCAAAGAUGAUACUCAGACAAGAUUAAAAAGAAAAGUAAAUGGAAGAAACAUAGAAAACAAAAAACAAAUGUCUACAACCCACCCACUCACCCUUAAACAUAACUAAAGAAUAAAAGAACACCAUGCUUUUCAAAAAUUCCCAAUGGUUAAGUACUUGUAACAACUUAAGUGUCUAUGAUGAGGUAGUAGAAAAAUGUAUUAUUGUGAAUUCAUUUAGCAGAAUUCUAUGUUGUUAGUAGAAUGUAUAGAAUAUUAUAUGCUGCUAUAAAAUUAUCUUCGAGAUAUUUUUAAAAAAUCAAGGCUGCUAUGAUAUGAUUUAUAUUAAAAACAGCACAGAUGAAUAUACAUUUACAUGCUUAAGUAUAAAUAAAAUGUUUCUGAAAGGAAAUAGGUAACUAUUAACAAUGUUUUAUUACCAAAAAUGGUUGCAUAUUUGGCGGUAAAAGGGAGAUUUGCUUUUCAUUACAUUUGUUUUUGUCAUAUUUAAUUGUUUUUCCAUCCACAUAUUAUUCAGUCGGAAAAGAUUUACUAGAGGGAAGGUAAUUACAUCUUAAUUAUGCACUCAACUUCAAAACAACAUCAGAAUCCCUGAAGUAGGGGAAGAAAGGUGACAUUAAAAAAGUCAAAAGUGGUUUUCUACAUAGUUGUAAGUACAAAGUGAAUUGGCAAGAAAAAUUUACAUUGUAAAGGAUUUAAAAAUGUAAUUAGGAAAUUAAAGUCUGCGUUGGAAGCAGUUAUUGAUAAGAAUCAUCUCUUUAGAGAUGUAACCAAUAACUUCGAAGAUAUUUUCAACAAUUCUCCCAGAAUUCAUAACAUAAUAACAAAUAGAAGAAAUUAACAAAAAGAAGAGGAUAGAAACAAAAGGCAAAGAACAGAAGUUCAGCCUACAGAAGAUUGGUAAAGAGGAGAGAACAAAUUGAACAGAGCAAGCAUCAUGAACUAAUAGUAGAAAACUUUCCUGAGAUGAAUAAUAUCCUAAGGCAGCACAUGAGACAAACUGGUCAACAGGAAAACAACACCUUAAACGUAUCCUAGUGAAAUGUUUGAAUUUCAAUAGUAAACAAAGAAUCCUCUGAGCAUCUAGAAAGACAAGGUAGAGAGAUCAGGCUGGUCUCAAUCUUUUUCUCCAUAAUGUUGAACAUUAGAUGCUAAUGGUGGAGCAACAUUUAUAGAAUUUUGAAGUAAGUAAAAAUAAUUUGAGAUUAACCAGAAAUUCUCUGUUUAAUCAUAUGUUAUCAUUCUUAUGUAAAGGAAUCAGAGAAGCUUUGCAUUUACUAUCUAUUGAUAGAUUUAUAUGAGCUAUAAAAUUUAUAUACUCCACAUAUUACUCUUUAUAAAAAAUUACAGUUUAACUUUUUUUUAUUUUUGUUUUUAAAGAAACUCAGGAAUUCUGCUCUUGGGAAGAUGGAUUAGAUGUAUUAUUCUUUACUCUUCCCACUAACUACAACUAAAACCUCAGACUUACAUAUAAAACAAGCAUAAGGAGACUCUGAACGGUGAAGAGAAGAAGGUGGACUUACUGGAGAUCUUAAGACCCAAGAAAUAAUGGAGAAGAGAACAAGAAGAUUUAUACUAGCCAUGCAAGGAAUCUUUGGAAGUCUAACAGACCUGACUUGAAGAGAAGGCUUUAAACAAGAAAUUCUUCAUUCUGGAACAGUGAUUCUUAAAGUGCGGUUCAGAGACCCUGGGAGACACUGACAUUCUUUCAGAGUGUGAGUGAGGAUUUCCUCUUUGCAACUACAAUCUGUGUAAGGUUGGAUUUUCUUUACAUACAUAAACUAAAAUAAGAUUGCAAUAAGAUGAAUGCAGAAGCAGAUAAGAGAAUCCAGCUGUCUUAAGUUAGACUUCACAGAGAUUUGCAAAAAUCCAAACAAGACCACUCUCGUCAUUAAAGUUAUUUUCCAUUUGUUAUGGUGAACUUAUUUUGCAGGAAAUUUGUUAUUUAUAGUAACAUACAAUUUUGUUUUUUGAUCAUUUUAAAUAAAUUAAUAAAUAUUAUAAGUUUUCUAUUUUUAAAAUUAUACAUGUCAGAAAAGAACAGUUCUUUCAGGUCCUCAACAAUUUUAAGACUAUUAACUUGUUUUGGAUCAAAAAGUUCUAGAUUUGCUAUUCUAGACAUGAAUCCUUUGAAAUUAAUUGGCUUCAUAAGUAUAUUUUUCAAGUUUGUGGCUUGUCCUGUAACCUUCUACUGUGUAGAAGUUUUAAAUUUUAAUUUAAAGAAAUUUAAAAUUUUUUCAUUUUUGUUUGUGCUUUUGGUGUCAUAUUUAGGAAAUCCUUCUCUACCUUGAGUUCAUGAAAAUAUCCUCUUAUAUUUAGUAUUUACAGUUUGUUCUUCAUCUUUAGGUCUAUAAUUUAUUGAAAAUAUAG